Molecule: ribosomal RNA, 492 nt
Filed under: uncultured bacterium
Lineage: Bacteria
Description: partial 16S ribosomal RNA
Rfam family: Bacterial small subunit ribosomal RNA
Source: RNAcentral
GAUGAACGCUAGCUACAGGCUUAACACAUGCAAGUCGAGGGGAAACGACAUCGAAAGCUUGCUUUUGAUGGGCGUCGACCGGCGCACGGGUGAGUAACGCGUAUCCAACCUGCCCAUCACUUGGGAAUAACCUUGCGAAAGUAAGACUAAUACCCAAUGAUAUCCCACGAAGGCAUCGGAAUGAGAUUAAAGAUUUAUCGGUGAUGGAUGGGGAUGCGUCUGAUUAGCUUGUUGGCGGGGUAACGGCCCACCAAGGCAACGAUCAGUAGGGGUUCUGAGAGGAAGGUACCCCACAUUGGAACUGAGACACGGUCCAAACUCCUACGGGAGGCAGCAGUGAGGAAUAUUGGUCAAUGGGCGAGAGCCUGAACCAGCCAAGUAGCGUGCAGGAAGACGGCCCUAUGGGUUGUAAACUGCUUUUAUAAGGGAAUAAAGUGGGUCACGUGUGACUUUUUGCAUGUACCUUAUGAAUAAGGACCGGCUAAUUCCGUG